AAAAAGAAAGUUCGAGUUUAACACAUACAUCUAAUUUCUUUGCUUGGUUAUAUGGUUCAUGGUAGCUUUGGUGACAGAAUUUGAGUACAGAAUGCCAUUUGCAAGAGUUACACAUACAAGCAAUUUUUGCACAUCUAUCCAUUACAGUUGAUGCAUUCGUUCUGUUAUUUCUUAGAAAUUGAUUUAAUUGGGCUUGUUAACUGGUUUACUUUUGCAAUUCUUUUGACAAUUAAAAUGCAAAGAGGAGGACCAUAAACCACACUAUAUGAGCCAAGAUUUGCCAUACCGAUCGGUAUCCUAUCAUUCCAGAUAUAUCAUACUAUAUUGGUACCAAACUGUUAUAUAUACAGUCUCAUACUGAACCAAUAGUCAGUCCAUCUCACUGUUUUGUAUCGUAUCACAUAUCGACACUGAUAGAAUGGUACUGGUAUGGGGUGCAGUACUGACAUGGCGAACAUAUGAGCUCUACAAAAGAUCACAGUUGCCAAUGCCUAGCUUUAAAUCAACAGAAGAAACAAAGGAAACUGCAAGUCUUGAGGAUUUGAUGCCAGCUGACAAUAAAACCAGAAACAAGGUUUAGCAUCCUGCGCCAUCUACUGCAACUGCGACGCUUGAUGCCUUUCUCAUGUAGUAUGUUUUCAAAGGAUGUUAAUGCAGCCAAUUUAAUUCCUCAAAAA
Elaeis guineensis (African oil palm) is the source of this 677-nucleotide non-coding RNA. The record is from RefSeq and is a predicted model, not a curated record. NCBI's taxonomy places the organism in Eukaryota, Viridiplantae, Streptophyta, Magnoliopsida, Arecales, Arecaceae.